UACGAAGGGGGCGAGCGUUGUUCGGAUUUACUGGGCGUAAAGGGCGCGCAGGCGGCCGCAUUUGUCAGGCGUGAAAGCCCCGGGCUUAACCUGGGAACUGCGUUUGAUACGGUGUGGCUAGAGUUCGGGAGAGGAGAGUGGAAUUCCCAGUGUAGAGGUGAAAUUCGUAGAUAUUGGGAAGAACACCGGUGGCGAAGGCGGGUCUCUGGGCAGUAACUGACGCUGAGGAGCGAAAGCGUGGGGAGCGAACAGG
Molecule: ribosomal RNA, 253 nt
Filed under: uncultured bacterium
Lineage: Bacteria
Description: partial 16S ribosomal RNA
Rfam family: Bacterial small subunit ribosomal RNA
Source: RNAcentral